AGCGAACGCUGGCGGUAGGCCUAACACAUGCAAGUCGAACGGCAGCUCAGUGUGUGCUUGCGCUUGCGGGUGGAGAGUGGCGGAAGGGUGCGGUAUACACCGGAAUGUCCUUUUUCGCGGGGGGUAACGUCGGGUGAGUUACGCUAAUACCGCAUUCGACCUCAGGGUGAAAGCAGGGGAUCUUCGGGGCUGGCGCGAUUGAAUGAGCCGAUGUAGGCUUAGCUAGUUGGCGGGGUAGAGGGCCACCAAGGCGACGCUCGGUAGCUGGUCCGAGAGGAUGAUCAGCCACACUGGAACUGAGACACGGUCCAGACUCCUACGGUAGGCAGCAGUGGGGAAUAUUAGACGAUGGGCGCAAGCCUAAUCCAGCCAUACCGCGUGGGUGAAGAAGGCCUUCGGGUUGGAGAGCCCUUUUGUUGGGAAAGAAAAGCAGCAGGUUAAGACCCCGCGGUUCUGACGGUACCCGAAGAAGAAGCACCGGCUAACUUCGUG
This 492-nucleotide ribosomal RNA is filed under the name uncultured bacterium. Its description in RNAcentral is "partial 16S ribosomal RNA". It matches the Rfam family "Bacterial small subunit ribosomal RNA", at positions 30 to 507 of the family's 1533-position model. The record is from RNAcentral.